UCCUACGGGAGGCAGCAGUGGGGAAUAUUGCACAAUGGGCGCAAGCCUGAUGCAGCAACGCCGCGUGAGGGACGAAGGCCUUCGGGUUGUAAACCUCUUUUAGUAGGGAAGAAGCGACUGGGUUUUCCUGGGAGUGACGGUACCUGCAGAAAAAGCACCGGCUAACUACGUGCCAGCAGCCGCGGUAAUACGUAGGGUGCAAGCGUUGUCCGGAAUUAUUGGGCGUAAAGAGCUCGUAGGCGGUUUGUCGCGUCUGCUGUGAAAACCCGAGGCUCAACCUCGGGCCUGCAGUGGAUACGGGCAGACUAGAGUGCGGUAGGGGAGAUUGGAAUUCCUGGUGUAGCGGUGGAAUGCGCAGAUAUCAGGAGGAACACCAAUGGCGAAGGCAGAUCUCUGGGCCGUAACUGACGCUGAGGAGCGAAAGCAUGGGGAGCGAACAGGAUUAGAUACCCUGGUAGUCCAUGCCGUAAACGUUGGGAACUAGAUGUGGGGACCAUUCCACGGUCUCCGUGUCGCAGCUAACGCAUUAAGUUCCCCGCCUGGGGAGUACGGCCGCAAGGCUAAAACUCAAAGGAAUUGACGGGGGCCCGCACAAGCGGCGGAGCAUGCGGAUUAAUUCGAUGCAACGCGAAGAACCUUACCAAGGCUUGACAUAUACCGGAAACGGCUGGAAACAGUCGCCCCGCAAGGUCGGUAUACAGGUGGUGCAUGGUUGUCGUCAGCUCGUGUCGUGAGAUGUUGGGUUAAGUCCCGCAACGAGCGCAACCCUCGUCCUAUGUUGCCAGCACGUAAUGGUGGGAACUCAUGGGAUACUGCCGGGGUCAACUCGGAGGAAGGUGGGGAUGACGUCAAAUCAUCAUGCCCCUUAUGUCUUGGGCUUCACGCAUGCUACAAUGGCCGGUACAAAGGGCUGCGAUACCGCAAGGUGGAGCGAAUCCCAAAAAGCCGGUCUCAGUUCGGAUUGAGGUCUGCAACUCGACCUCAUGAAGUCGGAGUCGCUAGUAAUCGCAGAUCAGCAACGCUGCGGUGAAUACGUUCCCGGGCCUUGUACACACCGCC
Molecule: ribosomal RNA, 1059 nt
Filed under: uncultured Cryobacterium sp.
Lineage: Bacteria; Bacillati; Actinomycetota; Actinomycetes; Micrococcales; Microbacteriaceae
Description: bacterial SSU rRNA
Rfam family: Bacterial small subunit ribosomal RNA
Source: RNAcentral